UUUUCGGACAAUGGAUGUAGAGGAAAGUGGCGGACGGGUGAGUAACGCGUGAGGAACCUGCCUUGAAGAGGGGGACAACAGUUGGAAACGACUGCUAAUACCGCAUGACGCAUAGAGGUCGCAUGAUCUUUAUGCCAAAGAUUUAUCGCUUCAAGAUGGCCUCGCGUCUGAUUAGCUGGUUGGCGGGGUAACGGCCCACCAAGGCGACGAUCAGUAGCCGGACUGAGAGGGCGGACGGCCACAUUGGGACUGAGAGACGGUCCAAACUCC
This 270-nucleotide ribosomal RNA is filed under the name uncultured Oscillibacter sp. RNAcentral's name for it is "partial 16S ribosomal RNA". It matches the Rfam family "Bacterial small subunit ribosomal RNA", at positions 77 to 339 of the family's 1533-position model. Lineage: Bacteria; Bacillati; Bacillota; Clostridia; Eubacteriales; Oscillospiraceae. The record is from RNAcentral.